AGAGUCUGUCAUUGGCUUGUCGUGGGUUAAACAUACGAGGAUCUCGAAAUGUACUGGAAGCGCCUUAUUCUGGUGGUUUUAGCCGCUUCGCUUGUGUAUGCCAAGAGACUUGACAAGGACGAUUCAGGUUAUAACGAUAGAAAAGCACGAUUUGGUAUCUGCAGCCAAAGACCUAUGUAUGGCAAUUGCAGUGGACACCGUAAACUAUGGUACUAUGAUGUCAUCGGGAAAAUAUGCGCCCAGUUCAUCUAUUCGAACUGUGGCGGCAAUCAAAAUCGUUUCUACAGCAUGGGGGAAUGCAUGAAUUUUUGUGUAGGCAAGGAUAUGUAAAUAUGAUUUAUAGAAUUAAGAUGGAAUUCAAAUAAAACGGAUCUCUAAGUGUGUAAUAAAAAACAGUCGUCCAACUUUUCAAAUGUGUACGGUAAACACUAAUUACAAAAAUAUCUGUCCAAGGAUUGGGAGAAUUCGAACAAAAGUCUUGAAAUUGUAGCUAACAAAUUUUGUUGGAAUUAUUGAACUAGUUCUUUGUUCCCUUUUUUAGCCAUCACUCAUUUCAAUUAGCCGGGCGCACUGUUCUAAGAAAAAUGUACUUAUAAAUACCACAACAUCUGUUGCAAAUCAGUUCAGUCGACAUUCUGACCUUCUAGGGGAAAAUAUAAAAUAUGAGAUAUCCUCGAGCUUCAAUUGGACUGCUGAUCGUGCUGGUUCAAUAUUCCUUGGCCCCUGAUCCGUUACAGAAGAGGAUUUGUGCAAUGCGUGCCGAAUAUGGAAGAUGCGACGGGCAUACCUUGGUCUGGGCCUACGAUAAAAAUAAUAAUGAAUGCGUUGAAUUCGCUUACUCUACCUGUGGUGGCAAUCGGAAUCGUUUUUCUACUUAUGUAGAGUGUAUGCUAGCUUGUGCUGUUUUCGAAAAAAAUGAUGAAUAUCAAGACACAUUUACAAUGAGAAUAUACACAUAAAGAGGCAUGCUAGUGCAGCAGAAAAACUAUAACGAACCAUACAA
Long non-coding RNA from Drosophila pseudoobscura, 1003 nucleotides. RefSeq lists it as uncharacterized. NCBI's taxonomy places the organism in Eukaryota, Metazoa, Arthropoda, Insecta, Diptera, Drosophilidae. The transcript has 3 exons. The record is from RefSeq and is a predicted model, not a curated record.